This 347-nucleotide long non-coding RNA is filed under the name Pan troglodytes (chimpanzee). Its description in RNAcentral is "long non-coding RNA NONPTRT001437". The record is from RNAcentral. Lineage: Eukaryota; Metazoa; Chordata; Mammalia; Primates; Hominidae.
CAAGGAGGCAGCAGGCACAGUGAAACUGGGCGGCGAUGGAUACUCCCAGCACUUGCUGAGCACUGCUACGCCUCAGGACUGGGACAGAGAGAACCAUUCUCUGCUUUCAAUAGGACAGAAGAGCUCCUUGGCACUGGAUGCCUCCGGGUCUGGUUGAGAGAGGAAUGGUUAGGAGACUGUUCUGAGGAUACGCAGACAUCAUCCAAAGCUUCCUACAUUCAGAUGAGGACAGAGGUUGGGCCAGAGCUUUGUAUGCUUGUUACCUAAGGAUGGUUCUGACCAUGUAAGCAGAUCACAGAAGUUCCUGAGCCAAUACUUGUCAAACCUGGUACUGUAUCAAGAUCCUC